UUUCACAGGAGUGUCCCAUUUCUAUGG
This 27-nucleotide non-coding RNA is filed under the name Mus musculus (house mouse). Lineage: Eukaryota; Metazoa; Chordata; Mammalia; Rodentia; Muridae. The record is from RNAcentral.